GGGGCCGUCGUCUAGCUUGGUAGGAUGCCAGCCUGGGGCCCCAGAAGUCGUGGGUUCAAAUCCCACCGGCCCCACCA
This is a transfer RNA of 77 nucleotides. It matches the Rfam family "tRNA". Rfam says of the family: Transfer RNA (tRNA) molecules are approximately 80 nucleotides in length. Their secondary structure includes four short double-helical elements and three loops (D, anti-codon, and T loops). Further hydrogen bonds mediate the characteristic L-shaped molecular structure. tRNAs have two regions of fundamental functional importance: the anti-codon, which is responsible for specific mRNA codon recognition, and the 3' end, to which the tRNAs corresponding amino acid is attached (by aminoacyl-tRNA synthetases). tRNAs cope with the degeneracy of the genetic code in two manners: having more than one tRNA (with a specific anti-codon) for a particular amino acid; and 'wobble' base-pairing, i.e. permitting non-standard base-pairing at the 3rd anti-codon position.